RNAcentral lists this ribosomal RNA (281 nucleotides) under uncultured bacterium. Its description in RNAcentral is "partial 16S ribosomal RNA". It matches the Rfam family "Bacterial small subunit ribosomal RNA", at positions 31 to 311 of the family's 1533-position model. The record is from RNAcentral.
GAACGCUGGCGGCGUGCUUAACACAUGCAAGUCGAGCGGUAAGGCCCGUUUCGGGGGUACACGAGCGGCGAACGGGUGAGUAACACGUGGGUGACCUGCCCUCAGCUCUGGGAUAAGCCUGGGAAACCGGGUCUAAUACCGGAUAUGACUCCAUGACGCAUGUUGGUGGGGUGGAAAGCCUUGUGCGGCUGAGGAUGGGCCCGCGGCCUAUCAGCUUGUUGGUGGGGUGANGGCCUACCAAGGCGACGACGGGUAGCCGGCCUGAGAGGGCGACCGGCCAC